GGAGCUUAAUGAAAUCGAAGGCUUGCGCUUGGCUAGAAGUUUGACCCGGAGAAGAGACAUUGGCAGGACAUGGAUGUCUGUCUGUAUGGAGAGAAGAAUUUGAAUUAAUAAACUUUAUUGACAUUUCAUGUGAAGGGUAUGAAGCCUUUCCUGAAGGAGCUGCUGGACCCAACAAAACGCCAUGUCUUUGACAGUCUAACCAGAUCAGAGGCGGAGCUAACCCAGACCCAUACACACUGUCUCAGGAAAGGGUCUUGCAGCACCGGUCUAGGUCUGCACCCUGGCUGUCUGCCUGUUCUCCAGAGCUGGCCUGCCUACAUCACCUACGUGUCUGACAUAGUCCGAGACCUGCAGGAGAGUGAGAAGAGGAGGGGAGAGAACUCUACCUGUGUCACUCAGACCGCAUGGGCGUCACCCCACCGCCAACAAGUCACAGGAGUGGCAGAUCAAGGCACCCUGACAACCCAUAGGUUGUUUCCAUGGCAACUAGACCAACAGGUCAUCUCCAGUCUCAGUGGAUGAAUAACUCAUCCUCUCCAGCGUCCUGCACAAAGUUUGACAUAUACAGCAACACACAAUCCCUUUCUUCUCCUCCUUCCAGUCUGCUGUCCAUCCCUCUCUCUCUUAGUUCCUGGUCCCCUCCCCUGACCUCUCCUUCUUCUGCCCCUCCGCCUCCUCUUUCUGAUAGUUCAGCCCCUUAGCGCCCUUCUUCUCCUCCAGCCUCCCUUCUUCCUUCUCUGUUUGGUAGGACAACCCCUUCCCUCCCUUCUCUAGCCUCCUCUCCUCUCUUUUCCCUUCCUUCUUCUCCUCCAGCCUCUCAUCCAUUCUCUUUCAGCACAGCCCUUUCUUUCCCUCCUUGUCUUUCUUCCCCUCCUCUCUUAGCAACCUCUCUCCUACCUUCUCAGUCCACCCAGGCUGUCCAUGGCCAUUCCUUUAGGAUGCUGUUCUGCAGGCAGGGGACAGAGAGAAGAGG
RNAcentral lists this long non-coding RNA (973 nucleotides) under Salmo salar (Atlantic salmon). RNAcentral's name for it is "lncRNA (ENSSSAG00000118724.1)". Lineage: Eukaryota; Metazoa; Chordata; Actinopteri; Salmoniformes; Salmonidae. The record is from RNAcentral.